Molecule: ribosomal RNA, 333 nt
Filed under: uncultured bacterium
Lineage: Bacteria
Description: bacterial SSU rRNA
Rfam family: Bacterial small subunit ribosomal RNA
Source: RNAcentral
AUUGAACGCUGGCGGCAGGCCUAACACAUGCAAGUCGAGCGGUAGAGAGGUGCUUGCAUCUCUUGAGAGCGGCGGACGGGUGAGUAAUGCCUAGGAAUCUGCCUAGUGGUGGGGGAUAACGUUCGGAAACGGACGCUAAUACCGCAUACGUCCUACGGGAGAAAGCGGGGGAUCUUCGGACCUCGCGCCAUUAGAUGAGCCUAGGUCGGAUUAGCUAGUUGGUGAGGUAAUGGCUCACCAAGGCGACGAUCCGUACUGGUCUGAGAGGAUGAUCAGUCACACUGGAACUGAGACACGGUCCAGACUCUACGGGAGGCAGCAGUGGGGAAUAUU